GUUCUGUCUCAAGCGGUGACCCAGGGUAUCUGAGAAGCGUGCGAUGCUGACGACAGUGGCGAGGGGCGCAGCUGUGCGGAGAACCGGCCUUCUCUCGGGCCCAGGCGGCAGAAGGGAGCUGUGGACCGGUUCCCCGAAGUCAGAUACUAACAAUGUGAAGCCAUUGAUGGUGUGAAAAUUCUGGAUCCAACAAGCGUACUGAUGGGGCCUUUUGCUACUAUGAAUUUAGGAGAUCUUGGAGCAGAAGUUAUAAAAAUGGAAAGACCAGGUCAUCACCUAGGCUGCUGGUAUGUCAGUUUCAGGAGCUCUGGAGGAUGACAACUUACUUCCUUGAGAUGUCUCCUAAGAUUCCCCUCCUCCCUAAUUUGGUUAAGUCAGGAAAUUCCAUAGACACACUCCAAACUUCGUGACACAGUGAUAGAUAAGUACUCAAUUUAUUUAUGUGUUUUCAUCUAAAGUUUAUGUUAAUCUCAACCUUUUCCAUCUAGAACAGAGGUUGGCAAAUUAUGUGGGCCAAAUUGGGUUUAUUUUUGUACAGCUCAUGGACUAAGAAUGGAUUUUACAUUUUAAAGAUUGUUGAAGAAGAAUAAAGAAGAACAUGUGAUAGGGAAUCUAUCUGGCCUGCAAAGGGUACAAUAUUUACUGUUGUACCCUUUAUAGAAAAAGUUUGCCCACCCCUCAUCUAGAGUCUGAUUCUAUUAGUCGUAUGUGUGUGAAUGUGUCUAAAUCUAUGUCAACAUGGCUUAAAAAAUUUAUUGAAUAAUUAUCAGGUACUUAAAUGUGUUCAAGAAUGACUAUAAUGAAUUUCUUUGGGUGACCUGAUUUCUGUGAUGACUUUAAAAAAGACUUUAAAAGAUAUGUAGUCACAAUUGAAAUUUUGAGAAGAAUUUUAAGAUUGAGGUUUACAGUGGUUCAUUGUCCUCUAAUUCUUAUAGCAGUCAUCUGGGAAUCGAAAUCUAUAUCUUGUUUUAGACAGUUACUGACUCACUGGGUUAUAGUUUAAUAGUUUUCAAAAAAUGGUUCAUUAAAUACAUUUAAAACUCUUUGGAAAGAAAGCAUCUGAAAAGUGUGAAUGCAUUUCAGAAUCAUGUUUACAUGUAUGGUGCCUAUAUGUGCAUGCUACAUUGAGAAAUAUCUCAUAAUAAAGAUGGAGAUGUUGGUUAGCAAUAUCUUAAAGGGCCUCUUAAGGAAUUUGGCUUUUACUUUGAUUAAGAUUGUAAGCUACUGGAGGGUUUUGAGCAGAGAAAUGAUGUGAUCUGAAAUAUUUUUAAAAGGAUCACUCUAGCUACUGUGUUAAGAAUAGAUUGUAGAGGACAAGGUUGGAAGUGGAAGAACAAAUACAAAACUAUUGAAAUAUUCCAGGCUAGCGAUAAUGGUGGCUUGAAUUACAGUAGUAAUGGUGGAGGUGGUUGAGCAAUGAUAGGAUUCCGAUUAUGUUUUCAAGAUAAAGAGGAUAGUAUUUGGAGACAGAUUAGAUGUAUCAGCGAAAGAGUAGAGUUAAAGAUGACUAAGUUUUUGGCCUGAGCAAUUAGAAGAAUGGAAUUGCUAUAUAAUGAAUUGAGCAAGACUGUGGAAAGAAGUUUUAGUAGGGAAAAUAGCAAAAGUUUGUUUUGAAAGUUUGGAAGUCUCUUAAGAAAUGUGACUCAUCUUGAGAUGCCUGUUGGAUAGCCAGGUGGAGAUGUAAAAUAAGGGAUCGGGGUUAGGAGUUGAGGGGAAGAUAUAAAGUUUGAUAGUUAUAGAACAACUGGAUGGUAUUCGAAGCCUCACUGAGAUCAUUUAGAGAGUGAGUGUAGAUAGAGAAAGGAGGGUCCAAGGGGCUGAGCCUGAUGUACUCCAAUGACUAGAUGUUUGGUAGCUGAUGAGAACACAGGGAAGAAGAUUGAGAAGGAAUUGUCAUUGAAGUGGGAAGAGAACCUCCUGGAAGCCAAGUAAAGAAAGUGUCUAUUUCCACGACAAUUUAAGCUUUAAAGUGGAGUCAGUUUAAGCAUGCAUGGAACCGAAUGGCUUGCAUUUCCUAAAUUCACCAUGCUGUCUCUUAUUUCAAUCUUUGCACACCAUGUUUCCACUGCUUGGAACACCAUUCCCCUACCACACCUGGUUACUCUCUCUUUUUCCUUUAGCUCUCAUUGUGAAUGUCAUUACUUCUUUACAGACUUUCUUGAUCCUUGAAGAUUGGGUUGGGUGUUCUCUAUCAAUUUUGUAUUUGCCUUUUACUUGUCUGUAUCCCCCACUAUCCUGCAGCCUCUUGUUUAUUCUUAGUUCCAUACAUCGUGCAGAGCACAUUGUAGGGACUCAACAGGAGUUUCUUGAAUCAAUGAAUAAAUAAUCAGAACUUGACUGAAGAGUUUUUAAUAGCUGCCAUUUUUUUCUGCAUUCUACUUUUUGGAGAUAAUGGUAUGUCCCUAUAGAAACUCUUGAACAUGUGCAUGAGGAGACAUGAAGAAGAAUGUUCAUAGCAACAUUGUCUAUAAUAGAAAAAAGGUGAAAAUAACAAAUGAAAUAUGUUUCAAUAGGAAAAGGGGUAAGUGUGUAAUAUAAUGGGAUACUAGUAAGCAGAGGAAAGAGCGAACUGGAAUUACUAAAGCCAAUGCAGAUGAAUUUUACAAAGAUAAUAUUCAGUGAAGAAAGCAAGUUACAAAAGAUGAUAAAGAGAUUGGUAAUAUUUAUGUAGAGUUAUAAUUAUAACAUAAUACAAAAUAUGUAUUUUUGAGUAGUUCACUCACAUGUGGUUAAAAUAUAAAGAUGUGCAUGGUAAUGAAAAAUACUAAAUUCAAGAGAAUGAUUACCUCUGCAGAAUGGAGAGGAAGGAAUAUGAGACAGGAAAGGGAUAUACACAGGACUUGAUCUAUAUUUGUCAGAUAAGCAUGAGUAUUUGUUGUAUUGUUCCUAUACCCUUUUAUGCUUGAAAUAACAACAAAAGGUUCAGAAAUGCUCAAAUAGUUCCCUCCUUUUGUGUCUUCCUCCCCCGACUCCACCACAUGUUUCUUGAGCUCCUAUAUAUUCCUGGCUAUGUUGUGUGUACAGGGCAAAUAAUGCAGACAUGGUUCCUGCCUUUAAGGAGUUUACAGCCUACUGUCAGAGACAUUUUAUAAAAAAGUUAAAAUAUAGUUUGGCAUGUACUAACAAAUUGUGCUGUUAUGGAGAAUCAAACAGGGUACUGUGAUGGAGAUUAGUAGAGGUGGGGCUGCUUACUGUAAAUGGGAUGGUCAGAGAAGGCCUUUCUGGGGAGUUAACAUUUAAUAUACCUAAAAUAUGAGAAGGAGUUACCCAUUCAGAGAACAAGGGAGGAGUGAUUCAGGUAGAGAGAAUACCAUGUGCAAAGGCCCUGAGGUGGGAAGGGUUUAGAUACCUUUCAUGACCCAAGAGAAAGCCAGCAUGCCUGGAAUACUAAAACUGGGAGCAGAAUGCUUGAGAAAACACUGCAUAGUUGUGCAAGUGUCAUAGCAUACUGGAAAAGGUUGUAGCAGUAGAGGGAUUUGAUCCAAAUUACAUUAAAAAUAGUCUUUAAAAGAGGUAAGACUUAGAUACUGAUUGACUCAUCCUGAAGAACUUCCUUAUAAACAUUGGACAUUGAAAUAAAGUUCAUGUUUCAGAGAGUAGUUAUUAAGAUAAAAUAUCUUUAGAUUACUAAAGAAAUCAUUGUGCCAUUAUGGAGUUUCAGAGUCAGUAGCAGAUAAUGAAUGGUAAAUCAUCUAGCAACUGCAUCCAACAUAUAUAUCAUGGCAGCGACAAUACAAAACAAAACAUUGCUGCAGUUGGAUUCUUUUGGAAUGAGUUGUUAUAUGUAUAUUAAUAAUUUUCUGCAUAUUCACCACAUAACUAUAUCUUCUAAAAAAAUAAUAAUUAGAAGUCUGACUGCAGUAUAAAUCCAUAAAAUUUUGAAGGAGAAAAAGAAGGAAGGAAGAUUGGGAGGGAGAAAGGUUGGAGUGUGGGGAAGAAAGAAGACAAGAAGGAGAAAAGGAGGGAAGAAAAGGGAAAGAAUUAGAAUAACAAUGGGCAAAUUUUAUUUUGACCCCUAAAAAUAGUAGUUUAGGCUAGUUCACAUGACAUUCAUAUGGCAUUAAACAUUUCUAUAUUGAAUAAUCAAUAUAGAUAUGACAUUAAAAGGGGUCCUCUUAGUCAAAAUAAUUGGCAACUACUGGUCUAAAUUAUGAAUGUCUGUUGCACCCUCUUUUAUCAGGAAAUAUUUUUUUCCCUAGAAUUUCACAGUGUUGUGGCCAUCUGUCCAACUUUAUAGGCAGUGAUCCCUAGCAAAAGGGUGGUUUGACGUAUUUACCAUUUCAUACCAAACUUAUUAUUUAAACAAAUAAUGACACCAUCUUUGCAGAGGAAGGAAAACAUAGCAUAUAAAUACAAGAUUUCAAAACACAGCACAUAAAGCUAGGGACUUAGAUUAUAUUUUGUCUGUAGACAUGGACUGACUCCAGAAAGUGACAUUUUGCCCCCAUUUUAUCCCCCAAGGAUAUACCCUUUUUAACUUUAAAUACUUUUUUACCCUUACACAUAAAACACAUGUGUUACACAAGCUGGAGUGUAAGCAGAAACUUUUUCCUUUCCCACUCUACCUCUGCAAACCUGCACUCUUGACUCAUUUUCCUUGCUCAUGGAUGAAAUCCUUCGCAAGUCCUAUAGAUUUUUCCCCUGGUUAUUUCAUAUGAAGUAAUAAAAAAAAGUCCAGUCCAAUCUAAAAUAAAAACUUGACUUUUUCUCCUGCAACUUGGU
Long non-coding RNA from Pteropus alecto (black flying fox), 4722 nucleotides. RefSeq lists it as uncharacterized. The transcript is spliced from 5 exons. The record is from RefSeq and is a predicted model, not a curated record. Lineage: Eukaryota; Metazoa; Chordata; Mammalia; Chiroptera; Pteropodidae.